Molecule: ribosomal RNA, 426 nt
Filed under: uncultured bacterium
Lineage: Bacteria
Description: bacterial SSU rRNA
Rfam family: Bacterial small subunit ribosomal RNA
Source: RNAcentral
UCGGGAAUUUUGGGCAAUGGGCGCAAGCCUGACCCAGCAACGCCGCGUGAAGGAUGAAGUUUCUCGGAAUGUAAACUUCACAAGAAUGGGAAGAAUAAGUUUUGGCUAAUAUCCAAAACGAUGACGGUACCAUUUGUAAGCUCCGGCUAACUCCGUGCCAGCAGCCGCGGUAAUACGGGGGGAGCAAGCGUUGUUCGGAUUUACUGGGCGUAAAGGGCGCGUAGGCGGCGUGACAAGUCACUUGUGAAAUCUCCGGGCUUAACUCGGAGCGGUCAAGUGAUACUGUCGUGCUAGAGUGCGGAAGGGGCUACUGGAAUUCUCGGUGUAGCGGUGAAAUGCGUAGAUAUCGAGAGGAACACCUGCGGCGAAGGCGGGUAGCUGGGCCGACACUGACGCUGAGGCGCGAAAGCUAGGGGAGCGAACGGG